This 452-nucleotide unclassified non-coding RNA is filed under the name Hevea brasiliensis (rubber tree). Lineage: Eukaryota; Viridiplantae; Streptophyta; Magnoliopsida; Malpighiales; Euphorbiaceae. The record is from RNAcentral.
AAAUAUUCUUGAAUCAGUUGCAUCUAUUAAAAAGCAAAUGGCUUUGGCUUUCAUUUCUACCCAUUAAGCUAUAACUUCGCAAUUUGCAAUUUGGGUUCUAGAUCUCAUCUAGACACUUCUUAUUCUUUCCUCAAUGAAGAGCUUCUUGAAUUUGAGGAAAGUGAACGAAAAUCUAAAGCUGAUAGUUCUCUGCAAUCCUUACGAAUGCCCCAUAGAAUCUCCCCACAUUUCUUCAUGCCCGGUCGGCUUUGUCUGCGUGGGGCCAAACACUGCAAGGCUAAUUCAAGAAUCUUCUCAAGGAGCAAAUUGGUUACGUCAGUACGUUCCAGCCUUGGGUCCAAGGUUGAAAUUGCAUCUCCCUCAGCAAAUUUCUUCAUAGCCCAUCUUGCAGUUAUCCGCUCCCUAAGUUCCCUUUUUGGUUCAAUAGGCCGCCUACCAGUUACUAGUUCAAC